This 250-nucleotide ribosomal RNA is filed under the name uncultured bacterium. RNAcentral's name for it is "partial 16S ribosomal RNA". It matches the Rfam family "Bacterial small subunit ribosomal RNA", at positions 355 to 597 of the family's 1533-position model. The record is from RNAcentral.
UGGGGAAUUUUGCGCAAUGGGGGAAACCCUGACGCAGCAACGCCGCGUGAGUGAUGAAGGCUUUCGGGUCGUAAAGCUCUGUCAGAAGGGAAGAAAUGUGGGUGGCUAAUAUCCAUACCACUUGACGGUACCUUCAAAGGAAGCACCGGCUAACUCCGUGCCAGCAGCCGCGGUAAUACGGAGGGUGCGAGCGUUGUUCGGAAUUAUUGGGCGUAAAGCGCGUGUAGGCGGUCUUUUAAGUCUGAUGUGA